This 640-nucleotide ribosomal RNA is filed under the name uncultured archaeon. RNAcentral describes it as "bacterial SSU rRNA". It matches the Rfam family "Archaeal small subunit ribosomal RNA", at positions 66 to 707 of the family's 1478-position model. The record is from RNAcentral.
UCCUUCGGGAGCACCGGCGGACUGCUCAGUAACACGUGGACAACCUACCCUCGGGUGGGGGAUAACCUCGGGAAACUGAGGCUAAUACCCCAUAGGCCUCGGAUACUGGAAGGUUCCGAGACCGAAAGCUCCGGCGCCCGAGGAUGGGUCUGCGGCCUAUCAGGUAGUUGGUGGCGUAAAGGACCACCAAGCCUACGACGGGUACGGGCCCUGAGAGGGGGAGCCCGGAGAUGGACUCUGAGACACGAGUCCAGGCCCUACGGGGCGCAGCAGGCGCGAAACCUUCGCAAUGCGCGAAAGCGCGACGAGGGGAGCCCGAGUGCCCUUCCUUUCGGGAGGGCUUUUCUGGAGCCUAAAAAGCUCCAGGAAUAAGGGCUGGGCAAGACGGGUGCCAGCCGCCGCGGUAAUACCCGCAGCUCGAGUGGUGGCCACUAUUAUUGAGCCUAAAGCGUCCGUAGCCGGACCCGUAAAUCCCUGGGUAAAUCCUGGCGCUCAACGUCAGGGAUUCCGGGGAGACUGCGGGUCUUGGGACCGGGAGAGGCCGGAGGUACUCCCGGGGUAGGGGUAAAAUCCUGUAAUCCCGGGGGGACCACCUGUGGCGAAAGCGUCCGGCUUGAACGGCUCCGACGGUGAGGGACGA